Molecule: long non-coding RNA, 534 nt
Organism: Helicoverpa zea (corn earworm)
Lineage: Eukaryota; Metazoa; Arthropoda; Insecta; Lepidoptera; Noctuidae
Exons: 2
Source: RefSeq, a predicted model, not a curated record
UAGAACAAUUUCAUCACACGCCAUUGGUGCUUGGUAGUGGGCGUGUGUAGCACGUGCACACAUACGUGCAACCUCGCACGUUACUCUUUGUCCGCGCGAACAAAGGGCCGCGAUUAUUUUAUUAAGCUGUUAAAAUAUUCGAUAUUUGAAACGACUUUAGUUUCUUUUGCUGUCGCUCGUUUUUUUUUCGUUUGUGGAUUUUGUUUUGGUUCAAAUUUGGAAUGCUCAUUAAUUUUACUUUUUUUUGACGUUACGUAGCAAUUUAGCUGUAUUUUAGGCCGACAGUUACACUUUGGACUGUUUUGUGGAACCAUAGACUACGUACGACCUACGACGUAACCUCCACAAAGAUCGAAGGGGCCAAAAAGAAUAAUUUUAUGCUGCAGGCUGAUAAAUGUUUCCAAUCCCUGAAUUGGACGCAUCAUUUUUUAGAUACACUCUUGUGGUUUCCACAGCAUAAAGAAACAACUUUAUAAGGAAUUUGUCUUCGAAAUAAACAUGAAUACUAAAAAAAAACUUUGCGUAGUAACCAUA